AGUGAACGCUGGCGGUAGGCCUAACACAUGCAAGUCGAACGGCAGCACAGUAAGAGCUUGCUCUUACGGGUGGCGAGUGGCGGACGGGUGAGGAAUACAUCGGAAUCUACUUUUUCGUGGGGGAUAACGUAGGGAAACUUACGCUAAUACCGCAUACGACCUACGGGUGAAAGCAGGGGAUCUUCGGACCUUGCGCGAGUGAAUGAGACGAUGUCGGAUUAGCUAGUUGGCGGGGUAAAGGCCCACCAAGGCGACGAUCCGUAGCUGGUCUGAGAGGAUGAUCAGCCACACUGGAACUGAGACACGGUCCAGACUCCUACGGGAGGCAGCAGUGGGGAAUAUUGGACAAUGGGCGCAAGCCUGAUCCAGCCAUACCGCGUGGGUGAAGAAGGCCUUCGGGUUGUAAAGCCCUUUUGUUGGGAAAGAAAAGCAGCAGGUUAAUACCCCGCUGUUCUGACGGUACCCAAAGAAUAAGCACCGGCUAACUUCGUG
Molecule: ribosomal RNA, 492 nt
Filed under: uncultured bacterium
Lineage: Bacteria
Description: partial 16S ribosomal RNA
Rfam family: Bacterial small subunit ribosomal RNA
Source: RNAcentral